GGCGGCGUGUUUGAAAGCGAGGCCAAAGUGGGUGGGAGCGCGUGCUGUUGGGAGUUGCUUGGAGGUUGGCGGCGCGGGGCUGAAGGCUAGCAAACCGAGCGAUCAUGUCGCACAAACAAAUUUACUAUUCGGACAAAUACGACGACGAGGAGUUUGAGUAUCGGUUAGUGCUGGCGCGGGAGCAAUAGCGAGGGUCGUGAGCUUUGGCCGCUGAGGGCACAAGGAAUUAGUAACAGGAACUGAGGCGAUAGAAUUGGCGCAUGCGUACGAGAACCUCACAUCUUGCUGUUCCGGCGCCCACUACCCAAGAAACCAAAGAAAUGAAGCUGGCAAGCUACUUUUCAGCCUCAAGCUUUACACAGCUGUCCUUACUUCCUAACAUCUUUCUGAUAACAUUAUUAUGUUGCCUUCUUGUUUCUCACUUUGAUAUUUAAAAGAUGUUCAAUACACUGUUUGAAUGUGCUGGUAACUGCUUUGCUUCUUGAGUAGAGCCACCACCACCAUAGCCCAGCCAGAUGAGUGCUCUGUGGACCCACAGCCUAAGCUGAGUGUGACCCCAGAAGCCACGAUGUGCUCUGUAUCCAGAACACACUUGGCAGAUGGAGGAAGCAUCUGAGUUUGAGACCAUGGCUGUUACAGGGAUCAUGUAAACUUGCUGUUUUUGUUUUUUCCUGCCGGGUGUUGUAUGUGUGGUGACUUGCGGAUUUAUGUUUCAGUGUACUGGAAACUUUCCAUUUUAUUCAAGAAAUCUGUUCAUGUUAAAAGCCUUGAUUAAAGAGGAAGUUUUUAUAAUCU
Molecule: long non-coding RNA, 795 nt
Filed under: Homo sapiens (human)
Lineage: Eukaryota; Metazoa; Chordata; Mammalia; Primates; Hominidae
Description: HSALNT0015613
Source: RNAcentral